AAAGCGACUAUUAAGCUAGUGUAAUCACAGAUCUGUGUGCUAUAUUUUGGAAACAAACUCCAAUAUGAAGAGUGGAUUGUUCACCAUCCUAGUCAUCCUGGCAGUACUAGUGGUAGUUGCAGAAUCCUAUGGAAGAAGGUACGGAGGAAGAAGCCUCUAUAGGCACGUGCAUGGGUAUGGAGUGAGACAUUUAUACAGAUACAGUCAUAAUUAUU
This is a long non-coding RNA of Mytilus trossulus (common blue mussel), 215 nucleotides long. RefSeq lists it as uncharacterized. The transcript is spliced from 3 exons. The record is from RefSeq and is a predicted model, not a curated record. Lineage: Eukaryota; Metazoa; Mollusca; Bivalvia; Mytilida; Mytilidae.